Molecule: ribosomal RNA, 446 nt
Filed under: uncultured bacterium
Lineage: Bacteria
Description: partial 16S ribosomal RNA
Rfam family: Bacterial small subunit ribosomal RNA
Source: RNAcentral
GUAGGGAAUAUUGGACAAUGGGCGGAAGCCUGAUCCAGCCAUGCCGCGUGGAGGAUGACUGCCCUCUGGGUUGUAAACUCCUUUUGUACAGGAAGAAACCUCCUCAUUUAUGAGUGAGCUGACGGUACUGUAAGAAUAAGCACCGGCUAACUCCGUGCCAGCCGCCGCGGUAAUACGGAGGGUGCAAGCGUUAUCCGGAUUCACUGGGUUUAAAGGGUGCGUAGGCGGAUAAAUAAGUCAGUGGUGAAAUCAACGGGCUCAACCUGUUAACUGCCAUUGAUACUGUGUAUCUUGAAUAUGAGAGAGGUAGGCGGAAUGUUGCAUGUAGCGGUGAAAUGCUUAGAUAUGCUACGGAACACCGAUUGCGAAGGCAGCUUACUAUUUCGUAAUUGACGCUGAGGCACGAAAGCGUGGGUAGCGAACAGGAUUAGAAACCCGAGUAGUCC